GAUGAACGCUGGCGGCGUGCCUAAUACAUGCAAGUCGAGCGAACGGACGAGAAGCUUGCUUCUCUGAUGUUAGCGGCUGACGGGUGAGUAACACGUGGAUAACCUACCUAUAAGACUGGGAUAACUUCGGGAAACCGGAGCUAAUACCGGAUAAUAUUUUGAACCGCAUGGUUCAAAAGUGAAAGACGGUCUUGCUGUCACUUAUAGAUGGAUCCGCGCUGCAUUAGCUAGUUGGUAAGGUAACGGCUUACCAAGGCAACGAUGCAUAGCCGACCUGAGAGGGUGAUCGGCCACACUGGAACUGAGACACGGUCCAGACUCCUACGGGAGGCAGCAGUAGGGAAUCUUCCGCAAUGGGCGAAAGCCUGACGGAGCAACGCCGCGUGAGUGAUGAAGGUCUUCGGAUCGUAAAACUCUGUUAUUAGGGAAGAACAUAUGUGUAAGUAACUGUGCACAUCUUGACGGUACCUAAUCAGAAAGCCACGGCUAACUACGUG
RNAcentral lists this ribosomal RNA (497 nucleotides) under uncultured bacterium. RNAcentral describes it as "partial 16S ribosomal RNA". It matches the Rfam family "Bacterial small subunit ribosomal RNA", at positions 28 to 507 of the family's 1533-position model. The record is from RNAcentral.